This is a microRNA precursor of Bison bison bison, 68 nucleotides long. NCBI's taxonomy places the organism in Eukaryota, Metazoa, Chordata, Mammalia, Artiodactyla, Bovidae. The record is from Ensembl.
CUGGUUGGCAUUCUGGGCCUGGUUCAUGCCUACUCUGUUAUUAACUAUACCAGGAUGCCAGCAUAGUU